AAUGAACGCUGGCGGCAUGCCUAGCACAUGCAAGUCGAACGAAGGCUUCGGCCUUAGUGGCGCACGGGUGCGUAACGCGUGGGAAUCUGCCCUCAGGUUCGGAAUAACAGCGAGAAAUUGCUGCUAAUACCGGAUGAUAUCGCGAGAUCAAAGAUUUAUCGCCUGAGGAUGAGCCCGCGUAGGAUUAGCUAGUUGGUGUGGUAAAGGCGCACCAAGGCGACGAUCCUUAGCUGGUCUGAGAGGAUGACCAGCCACACUGGGACUGAGACACGGCCCAGACUCCUACGGGAGGCAGCAGUGGGGAAUAUUGGACAAUGGGCGAAAGCCUGAUCCAGCAAUGCCGCGUGAGUGAUGAAGGCCUUAGGGUUGUAAAGCUCUUUUACCCGGGAUGAUAAUGACAGUACCGGGAGAAUAAGCUCCGGCUAACUCCGUGCCAGCCGCCGCGGUAA
RNAcentral lists this ribosomal RNA (449 nucleotides) under uncultured bacterium. RNAcentral describes it as "partial 16S ribosomal RNA". It matches the Rfam family "Bacterial small subunit ribosomal RNA", at positions 29 to 523 of the family's 1533-position model. The record is from RNAcentral.